GUUUACAAUUUGCAUUCUCCAAUUACUUGGAAGAAAUUAAGACGUAUUUUGAGAAGUGAAUAAUGCGUGAGAACCGCGCCCGGUUGGCGGUUACCACAGUAACCGCCACAGACAAUAACAAUUCAACAAGUGGUUAAGGAGAAGUUUCUCCUUUAUCGGUAAUGAUCCAACCGCAGGUUCACCUACGGUUA
RNAcentral lists this unclassified non-coding RNA (191 nucleotides) under uncultured fungus. RNAcentral's name for it is "sequence contains ITS1". Lineage: Eukaryota; Fungi. The record is from RNAcentral.